This 119-nucleotide ribosomal RNA is filed under the name Pteropus alecto (black flying fox). Lineage: Eukaryota; Metazoa; Chordata; Mammalia; Chiroptera; Pteropodidae. The record is from RNAcentral.
GUCUACGGCCAAGCCACCCUAAACGUGCCCAAUCUUGUCUGAUCUCAGAAGCUAAGCAGGGUCAGGCCUGGUUAGUACUUGGAUGGGAGACCACCUGGGAAUACCAGGGGCUGAAGGCA